This 451-nucleotide ribosomal RNA is filed under the name uncultured bacterium. Its description in RNAcentral is "bacterial SSU rRNA". It matches the Rfam family "Bacterial small subunit ribosomal RNA", at positions 354 to 796 of the family's 1533-position model. The record is from RNAcentral.
GUGGGGAAUAUUGGACAAUGGGGGGAACCCUGAUCCAGCCAUGCCGCGUGUGUGAAGAAGGCCUUUUGGUUGUAAAGCACUUUAAGCGAGGAGGAGGCUACCGAGAUUAAUACUCUUGGAUAGUGGACGUUACUCGCAGAAUAAGCACCGGCUAACUCUGUGCCAUCAGCCGCGGUAAUACAGAGGGUGAAAUCGUUAAUCGGAUUUACUGGGCGUAAAGCGCGCGUAGGUGGACAAUUAAGUCAAAUGUGAAAUCCCCGAGCUUAGCUUGGGAAUUUCAUUCGGUACUGGUUAGCUAGAGUAUGGGAGAGGAUGGUAGAAUUCCAGGUGUAGCGGUGAAAUGCGUAGAGAUCUGGAGGAAUACCGAUGGAGAAGGCAGCCAUCUGGCCUAAUACUGACACUGAGGUGCGAAAGCAUGGGGAGCAAACAGGAUUAGAUACCCUUGUAGUCC